GGGGAUGUAGCUCAAUCGGUAGAACGCUCGCUUUGUAUGCGAUAGGCACAGGGAUCCCUCACAUCUCCA
This is a non-coding RNA of Brassica napus (rape), 69 nucleotides long. NCBI's taxonomy places the organism in Eukaryota, Viridiplantae, Streptophyta, Magnoliopsida, Brassicales, Brassicaceae. The record is from Rfam.